GCAAGUCGAGGGGUAACAGGGGUGCUUGCACCCGCUGACGACCGGCGCACGGGUGCGUAACGCGUAUAGAACCUACCUUUUACAGGAGAAUAGCCUUUAGAAAUGAAGAUUAAUGCUCCAUGGUAUUAUUGAUUGGCAUCAAUUAAUAAUUAAACAUUUAUGGGUAAAAGAUGGCUAUGCGUUCUAUUAGCUAGAUGGUAAGGUAACGGCUUACCAUGGCGACGAUAGAUAGGGGCCCUGAGAGGGGGAUC
Molecule: ribosomal RNA, 251 nt
Filed under: uncultured bacterium
Lineage: Bacteria
Description: partial 16S ribosomal RNA
Rfam family: Bacterial small subunit ribosomal RNA
Source: RNAcentral